UACGGGGGGGGCAAGCGUUGUUCGGAAUUACUGGGCGUAAAGGGCUCGUAGGCGGCCAACUAAGUCGGACGUGAAAUCCCCAGGCUCAACCUGGGAACUGCGUCCGAUACUGGAUGGCUUGAAUCCGGGAGAGGGAUGCGGAAUUCCAGGUGUAGCGGUGAAAUGCGUAGAUAUCUGGAGGAACACCGGUGGCGAAGGCGGCAUCCUGGACCGGUAUUGACGCUGAUGCGCGAAAGCCAGGGGAGCAAACGGG
RNAcentral lists this ribosomal RNA (253 nucleotides) under uncultured bacterium. RNAcentral describes it as "partial 16S ribosomal RNA". It matches the Rfam family "Bacterial small subunit ribosomal RNA", at positions 524 to 776 of the family's 1533-position model. The record is from RNAcentral.